GACGAACGCUGGCGGCGUGCUUAACACAUGCAAGUCGAACGGAAAGGCCCUGCUUUUGUGGGGUGCUCGAGUGGCGAACGGGUGAGUAACACGUGAGUAACCUGCCCUUGACUUUGGGAUAACUUCAGGAAACUGGGGCUAAUACCGGAUAGGAGCUCCUGCUGCAUGGUGGGGGUUGGAAAGUUUCGGCGGUUGGGGAUGACUUGCGGCUUAUCAGCUUGUUGGUGGGGUAGUGGCUUACCAAGGCUUUGACGGGUAGCCGGCCUGAGAGGGUGACCGGCCACAUUGGGACUGAGAUACGGCCCAGACUCCUACGGGAGGCAGCAGUGGGGAAUAUUGCACAAUGGGCGGAAGCCUGAUGCAGCAACGCCGCGUGCGGGAUGACGGCCUUCGGGUUGUAAACCGCUUUCGCCUGUGACGAAGCGUGAGUGACGGUAAUGGGUAAAGAAGCACCGGCUAACUACGUG
RNAcentral lists this ribosomal RNA (467 nucleotides) under uncultured bacterium. Its description in RNAcentral is "partial 16S ribosomal RNA". It matches the Rfam family "Bacterial small subunit ribosomal RNA", at positions 28 to 507 of the family's 1533-position model. The record is from RNAcentral.